This is a long non-coding RNA of Lineus longissimus, 2535 nucleotides long. RefSeq lists it as uncharacterized. The transcript is spliced from 3 exons. Lineage: Eukaryota; Metazoa; Nemertea; Pilidiophora; Heteronemertea; Lineidae. The record is from RefSeq and is a predicted model, not a curated record.
UAUACACCAGACGAGAGAGCCGAGGUUACAUAAUGUUACCUCAGGUAUUUUUACCUGGUCUCAGUGCCCUGAAAAAACCCUGGCGCAUUCAAUACUAUUACAUAACUUCCACGUCUAAACACAAAACAGGUGGCGCGCCAUUCGCGCUAGAAAACCUCCCAAAAAACCUCCAAACAAGUCUCAAAAAUCUGAAAACGAAUGAAAUUAAUCAUGUAAAGUUCCCUUCCCUUGAUAAGUUCAUAUUUUGAUAUCAUUUUUUGCAGGUUGUCGUUGUCAAGGUGAAUUGUUGUUGUCAAGGUGACCUGAGCAGGUUGAGGUGGCUCUGUGCCCUCAGCCGCCGAAAGAAUGUCUGCAGACUUCACUUGUCUGGCCUGACGUCAGAGGUUGCGCAACUUUUCCAUUUUGUUAGGAAGGUCAAGCCAAGUCUCAUGAAGGCCAAAAAGAGAAAUGCCCAAAGCAGAGAUUUUGUAGCGAGUAUCAGUCACGGAUAAGCUUCGUCGCCAUGAUCAUGGUCAUCAGGAUGAUGCUCAAGAUGACGAUGUUCUUGUCCUACCGCUCCUGUCAUCAACAAACGACUUGAGAAAUCUGAAGCAUCCGAACUACCAGACGACAUCCCACUAUAACUUCCUUCACUCAUCACGAAUAAAUCGUCUGCUUCUAUAAAUCGUCUGCUUCUAAAUCGUCUGCGAACUUUAAAACUUGAUUGAGUUAUAAGAGGUUAUCCAAGUUUCCUCAUAUACGUUUGGGCCUGGGCUAUGAAGAUGUUUCCAUUGAAGUCUGCUACCCUUGUUGAUGUGGUCCGGUCCCUUUCUGGGGAUAUCAGGGUCUCCAAGUAUCAGCGUGACCUGAUUGUUCCAAGGCAGACGGAGUAAUGGCGCUCCUAUGAUGUAACAGUCAACACAGCCAGAUCGACGGACUGGUGCACUUCUCAAGGGGUGCAGGCUUGUGGAACUAAGGUGAAGGACGUUUGGGCUAGCCAGACAUGAUGUUUAACACCAUGUCCACCGACUACACACACAGUUAUACCCCUGCCAAUAGUCCUUUGUCCCUUGUCUUUCUGUUGCAUCAAAUGUUAAAUAGUUCCAAGCAACAGCUGAGAUAUAUAAAAAAGAAUGGGUAGGAAGUGGGACUAUACCUAGGAGUGGGUAGGAAGUGGGACUAUACCUAAAAAGUGUAUGCUAAGUCAUGUAUUCUGGUUAUAAAUAGCCUUUGAAAGGGAUCAAGUCUGAAGCAUGGGGUCACCAAUAUGUCACCUAGACUAAGUUGCCGGGCUAAGUCGUAGCAUAGGCUUUUUAUUGUGAACCCCUUUAUUACGUUUAUUGUGAAAUAGGGUUGUGAUUACCCUAGUUGUUACUAGUAAAUCCAUCAUCACCACCCAGGGCCUGAGGGCAGAUAAGGUGUCAUUAUCACAAUAGGUGUUACUGAACUAACCAUUCAGUUAUUUACUAACUUCUUGGCGAUGAACACCUCACAGGCAGCUGACAGGCACGACAGAUAUGUUGAUGAAAGGUUGGGCCCCUCCUUCACCCACUCAUACCCCCUGCGAUUACUAAAACAAAACAUCAUGAAGUGCAUCCAAGUCCAACUCAAGGCAAAGAUGAUCAAACCGGGCUUUGAUGUUCGAGUCAUUCGCCACUGCACUUCAGAUUCCACAGCUGAUCAUAGUUCGGGCUAGUCAUCAUCAGUUUAUACUAUGAUAAGGGUUGAUACCAUAGUUCAGGGUAGUCGUCAUCAGUUGAUACCAUAGUUUAAGGCAGUCAUCAUCAGUUUAUACUAUGAUUAGGGUUGAUACCAUAGUUCAGGGUAGUCGUCAUCAGUUGAUACCAUAGUUUAAGGAAGUCAUCAUCAGUUUAUACUAUGAUUAGGGUUGAUACCAUAGUUCAGGGUAGUCAUCAUCAGUUUAUACUAUGAAUAGGGUUGAUAAAAUAGUUCAGGGUAGUCGUCAUCAGUUGAUACCAUAGUUUAAGGCAGUCAUCAUCAGUUUAUACUAUGAUUAUGGUUGAUACCAUAGUUCAGGGUAGUCGUCAUCAGUUGAUACCAUAGUUUAAGGCAGUCAUCAUCAGUUGAUACCAAAGCUCAGGGUAGUCGUCAUCAGUUAAUACCAUAGUUUAAGGCAGUCAUCAUCAGUUUAUACCAUAGUUCAGGGUUGUCAUCAUCAGUUGAUACCAUAGUUCAGGGUAGUCGUCAUCAGUUGAUACCAUAGUUUAAGGCAGUCAUCAUCAGUUGAUACCAUAGUUCAGGGUAGUCGUCAUCAGUUGAUCGUUAGUUCGUGACAUUUAUGAAAAAUUCCGCAUGUCCAGCACAAUUGGCUGUUUAGUAGUUUUAAAUGCCCUCCUCGCGGAAAAAGAAAAAAAUGUAUCAUCAACCAUUCCGCAAAACACGUGGUUCGAGCCACACCCACUUUGCACAUGGCUCGAGGAUAAUUAUAGAAUGGUGUGACGUCACAAACCUAUAAAUAGAUAUGUCGCUUACGAAACUAACAUUCGGCUCGGAAGACAGUCAAUGGGCGUCAAGAGAAAAUGUCAUAGCUUUCUU